This is a long non-coding RNA of Dermacentor albipictus, 455 nucleotides long. RefSeq lists it as uncharacterized. Lineage: Eukaryota; Metazoa; Arthropoda; Arachnida; Ixodida; Ixodidae. The record is from RefSeq and is a predicted model, not a curated record.
CGCCGGGCUUGACCGCUGUCAGAGCGCCCCGCCCAUCGCUGGCCUGGGGGCCGGCGUCGACCGACGGGCCCUGGACUUCGGUCUUCGAGUCGCUGGUCUUUCGGGGGCUGCGGCCGCCCGGGUCCGCUUUCGCCAAGAGGGGAGAUAAGGCCUUCCUGUCCGGGAAAGGGCUUGCCUCAAUGCACUCCUUCUCCCCGGCAAGGCAGAGAAAGCCCAUCCAAGCGUCACGUCCUACCAUGGUGGCUCCGUUAUGCAGACCCCUUCCGUGACAGCUUUCACCACCAUUUGCACCUGGAAUCAGCAGCAUUUCGAAUCACGAAGACUCGGAAUUUCGAGAACACUCCGAGUUUAUCAGUGCAGGAGGCUGUCCGCUACACAUGUAGCAAAAGUCUAUGUAACAAAAGUUCAACGAACUGUUGUGCGAUUCUCGUGAAUAUGUUGUGAGUACUCUGCAG